AAUCUGAAAAUGAAGAACCGACGAGGCGCCACCAGAAUAACAAGCUUCCCCCCAUGUGAAUUUGCCGCUCCCAAUCCCUCUAUUGAUAUGAAUCCUUUUCUAUCCCGCUCGUAAUCCCCUUUGACGUUGCGUGUUUCAAGGAAGAUGCUGGUGGCGGUGGUUGUAUUCGUGAAAUUAUUUGCGGCGGUGGUAGGUUUGUAUGUUUGUGUUAAUGGUGGUGUGUUUGUAUGUGGCCGGCGGUUGUGAUGGAUUUUGGGGACAUGGAUGAUGAUAGGGUGGUGUGGUGACGAUGGGGAACAAAUUAGGAUUUUUUGGGCAGAUUGGACGAAAGAAGUCCGCAGAGGUUAAUCGAUU
This 354-nucleotide long non-coding RNA is filed under the name Erythranthe guttata (spotted monkey flower). RNAcentral describes it as "long non-coding RNA (EGUT_LNC003645)". The record is from RNAcentral. Lineage: Eukaryota; Viridiplantae; Streptophyta; Magnoliopsida; Lamiales; Phrymaceae.